AUUGAACGCUGGCGGCAGGCCUAACACAUGCAAGUCGAACGAGUGGCAGACGGGUGAGUAAUGUCUGGGAACCUGCCUGAUGGAGGGGGCUAACUACUGGCAACGGUAGCUAAUCCCGCAUACCAUCGGAUGUGCCCAGAUGGGAUUAGCUAGUAGGUGGGGUAACGGCUCACCUAGGCCACGGUCCGUAGCUGGCAUGAGAGGAUGACCAGCCACCAUGGAACUGAGACACGGUCCAGACUCCUACGGUAGGCAGCAGGGUGGAAUAUUGCACAAUGGGCGCAAGCCUGAUGCAGCCAUGCCGCGUGUAUGAAGAAGGCCUUCGGGUUGUAAAGUACUUUCAUCGGGGAGGCGUUACCCGCAGAAGAAGCACCGGCUAACUCCGUGCCAGCCGCCGCGGUAAUAC
This 406-nucleotide ribosomal RNA is filed under the name uncultured bacterium. Its description in RNAcentral is "partial 16S ribosomal RNA". It matches the Rfam family "Bacterial small subunit ribosomal RNA", at positions 30 to 526 of the family's 1533-position model. The record is from RNAcentral.